AGUGAACGCUGGCGGUAGGCCUAACACAUGCAAGUCGAACGGCAGCACAGUAAGAGCUUGCUCCUACGGGUGGCGAGUGGCGGACGGGUGAGGAAUACAUCGGAAUCUACUUUUUCGUGGGGGAUAACGUAGGGAAACUUACGCUAAUACCGCAUACGACCUACGGGUGAAAGCAGGGGAUCUUCGGACCUUGCGCGAUUGAAUGAGCCGAUGUCGGAUUAGCUAGUUGGCGGGGUAAAGGCCCACCAAGGCGACGAUCCGUAGCUGGUCUGAGAGGAUGAUCAGCCACACUGGAACUGAGACACGGUCCAGACUCCUACGGGAGGCAGCAGUAGGGAAUCUUCGACAAUGGGCGCAAGCCUGAUCCAGCCAUACCGCGUGGGUGAAGAAGGCCUUCGGGUUGUAAAGCCCUUUUGUUGGGGAAGAAAAGCAGCAGGUUAAUCCCCCGCUGUUCUGACGGUACCCAAAGAGUAAGCACCGGCUAACUUCGUG
RNAcentral lists this ribosomal RNA (492 nucleotides) under uncultured bacterium. RNAcentral's name for it is "partial 16S ribosomal RNA". It matches the Rfam family "Bacterial small subunit ribosomal RNA", at positions 29 to 507 of the family's 1533-position model. The record is from RNAcentral.